GGUGGGGGGGGGGGUGGACUGUGUUGGUUACAUCAUAAAAUUAUUUCCCCCCAGUCUGACAAGCUGAAGGAAGACCACGGCGCAAUGGUAAGGUUGCUCUAUCGCAACCUAGCGGUCGUGGGUUCAAGUCGGGAAACAGCCUCUCCACGAAGAUGGGAAGUUACUGCAAGGCAAGAAUCAUAGGAUGACUGAAGUCUGCCAAACCAUGUCAAAAGCCUAAUUGUCUUAUUCUGUGAGCUACCUUAUUCUUAAACAAGAUCCGGAGCUAGAAGCAAAAUAUUAGUUUGUUUGUUUCUUCUGGAAUGGGCUCAUUUGGGACUAACAUCCUGUAAAGGAAAUCAGGAAUGGUCACUGGAGGGGUCCUGACUUUGAUUGCCUGGUAAAAAGUAAGGAUGAAUUUAUGAUCGUUACCUCGUAAGUGUAUUGCUUCAAUGGACACAGGAGAAAAUUAGUGAAUGUUCUUUGUCUAAAAGUAGGUUUGAUUACUUCACCUAUGAGAAUUUCUGCCAAUUCUUGUUUUAUUUAUCAAGGCUCAUCUUAAUCUCCGUCAAGAUUACAGCCUUAGCUCUGUCCUUAGCAUCCUAUCAUCCGUAUAAUCUUAAAAUGUAAACCACACUGUUGGUUAAGAACAUCGGAUCAUACUAAAAUUUGUCUCCGGUGAUUUGAGUUAGGAUCCUUUCCAUGGAAGCCCCAAUUCUCUUAAUCAUUGGAAUGUGGCAAUUCUGUUGACUCAUUUAGGCCACUAUCA
Molecule: long non-coding RNA, 748 nt
Organism: Macadamia integrifolia
Lineage: Eukaryota; Viridiplantae; Streptophyta; Magnoliopsida; Proteales; Proteaceae
Exons: 2
Source: RefSeq, a predicted model, not a curated record